AAGUUGGGGUGUGGGCCCUAACACAGAAAAUUCAUUUUAUUGAAUUUUACAUUUAUGUGCCAGACGGGCAAAGCGAAGCCAUUCAAUACGAAGUAUUGUAUAAAUAGAGAACAGCAG
This 117-nucleotide non-coding RNA is filed under the name Staphylococcus aureus. It matches the Rfam family "S. aureus tsr24 small RNA". The record is from RNAcentral. Lineage: Bacteria; Bacillati; Bacillota; Bacilli; Caryophanales; Staphylococcaceae.